ACGGAUUAGUGGCGAACGGGUGAGUAACAUAUCGGAACGUACCCAGUAAUGGGGGAUAACUAGUCGAAAGACUGGCUAAUACCGCAUACGCCCUGAGGGGGAAAGCGGGGGAUCGAAAGACCUCGUGUUAUUGGAGCGGCCGAUAUCUGGUUAGCUAGUUGGUGGGGUAAAGGCCUACCAAGGCGACGAUCAGUAGCUGGUCUGAGAGGACGACCAGCCACACUGGAACUGAGACACGGUCCAG
Molecule: ribosomal RNA, 244 nt
Filed under: uncultured bacterium
Lineage: Bacteria
Description: partial 16S ribosomal RNA
Rfam family: Bacterial small subunit ribosomal RNA
Source: RNAcentral